RNAcentral lists this ribosomal RNA (473 nucleotides) under uncultured bacterium. Its description in RNAcentral is "SSU rRNA". It matches the Rfam family "Bacterial small subunit ribosomal RNA", at positions 26 to 518 of the family's 1533-position model. The record is from RNAcentral.
AGGACGAACGCUGGCGGCGUGCUUAACACAUGCAAGUCGAGCGGAAAGGCCCUUCGGGGUACUCGAGCGGCGAACGGGUGAGUAACACGUGAGUAACCUGCCCUAGGCUUUGGGAUAACCCUCGGAAACGGGGGCUAAUACCGAAUAUUCAUUCUGGAUGGCAUCAUCUGGUGUGGAAAGUUUUUCGGCCUGGGAUGGGCUCGCGGCCUAUCAGCUUGUUGGUGGGGUGAUGGCCUACCAAGGCGACGACGGGUAGCCGGCCUGAGAGGGCGACCGGCCACACUGGGACUGAGACACGGCCCAGACUCCUACGGGAGGCAGCAGUGGGGAAUAUUGCACAAUGGGCGGAAGCCUGAUGCAGCGACGCCGCGUGAGGGAUGAAGGCCUUCGGGUUGUAAACCUCUUUCGACAGGACGAAGCGCAAGUGACGGUACCUGGAGAAGAGCGCCGGCCAACUACGCGCCAGCAGCCGC